RNAcentral lists this ribosomal RNA (520 nucleotides) under uncultured Glomus. RNAcentral describes it as "SSU rRNA". It matches the Rfam family "Eukaryotic small subunit ribosomal RNA", at positions 569 to 1093 of the family's 1831-position model. The record is from RNAcentral. Lineage: Eukaryota; Fungi; Glomeromycota; Glomeromycetes; Glomerales; Glomeraceae.
AGCAGCCGCGGUAAUUCCAGCUCCAAUAGCGUAUAUUAAAGUUGUUGCAGUUAAAAAGCUCGUAGUUGAAUUUCGGGAUCAGUACGCUAGUCGUCUCUUCGGUACGUACUGGUGUUGCUGAUUCCUACCUUCUGACGAACCGUUAUGUCAUUAAUUUGGUGUGGCAGGAAAUCAGGACUGUUACUUUGAAAAAAUUAGAGUGUUUAAAGCAGGCUCGCGCUUGAAUACAUUAGCAUGGAAUAAUGAAAUAGGACGUUGACCCUAUUUUGUUGGUUUCUAGGAUUGACGUAAUGAUUAAUAGGGAUAGUUGGGGGCAUUAGUAUUCAAUUGUCAGAGGUGAAAUUCUUGGAUUUAUUGAAGACUAACUACUGCGAAAGCAUUUGCCAAGGAUGUUUUCAUUAAUCAAGAACGAAAGUUAGGGGAUCGAAGACGAUCAGAUACCGUCGUAGUCUUAACCAUAAACUAUGCCGACUAGGGAUCGGAUGAUGUUAUUUUUAAUGACUCAUUCGGCGCCUUACGG